This 250-nucleotide ribosomal RNA is filed under the name uncultured prokaryote. RNAcentral describes it as "partial 16S ribosomal RNA". It matches the Rfam family "Bacterial small subunit ribosomal RNA", at positions 524 to 773 of the family's 1533-position model. The record is from RNAcentral.
AACGUAGGAGACGAGCGUUAUCCGGAUUUACUGGGCGUAAAGAGCGUGUAGGAGGAUCGUCAAGUUGGAUGUAAAAUCUCCCGGCUUAACUGGGAGGCGUCGUUCAAAACUGAAGAUCUGGAGUACUGUAGAGGUAAUCGGAACUCCGGGAGUAGCGGUGAAAUGCGUAGAUAUCCGGAAGAACACCAGAGGCGAAAGCGGAUUACUGGACAGAAACUGACACUGAGACGCGAAAGCCAGGGUAGCAAAC